CAGCAGCCACGGGAAUACGUAGGGUGCGAGCGUUAAUCGGAAUUACUGGGCGUAAAGCGUGCGCAGGCGGUUGUGUAAGACAGGUGUGAAAUCCCCGGGCUUAACCUGGGAACUGCGCUUGUGACUGCACAGCUAGAGUAUGGCAGAGGGGGGUGGAAUUCCACGUGUAGCAGUGAAAUGCGUAGAGAUAUGGAGGAACACCGAUGGCGAAGGCAGCCCCCUGGGCCAAUACUGACGCUCAUGCACGAAAGCGUGGGGAGCAAACAGGAUUAGAUACCCGCGUAGUCCCUGUCUCUUAUAC
RNAcentral lists this ribosomal RNA (301 nucleotides) under uncultured bacterium. RNAcentral's name for it is "partial 16S ribosomal RNA". It matches the Rfam family "Bacterial small subunit ribosomal RNA", at positions 509 to 807 of the family's 1533-position model. The record is from RNAcentral.